This 857-nucleotide long non-coding RNA is filed under the name Panicum hallii. Its description in RNAcentral is "long non-coding RNA (PHAL_LNC000501)". The record is from RNAcentral. Lineage: Eukaryota; Viridiplantae; Streptophyta; Magnoliopsida; Poales; Poaceae.
UCCUAUCAUUCUUUCCUCUCUAAUGCUCGUUCUGCUGCUCGUAUGGAGGCCGCCGCCGCCUGCACACCAUGGCCCUAGGGCCGGCGCCCCCUCCUAAUCUGCCUAAGCUCAAGCCUUCUCCGAGGUGCCGCAUCAACUCGUUUUAGCUGACGCAGAGCUGCGGUGUUGCUUGCAUUGGGGAUCUGCGGUAGAGGCGAGGUGAGGAGGAGGCAAUGCUAUGAACUGCGUUUGGGCUGAUAUCAUCGCCGGGAAACAAUUUGGAGUUUUUUUUUGCUCAUCUCAUUCUUAUUUUUGCAGCCGACCCGCUAUGCUACUGGGAGAAGGCACCAGUACCCAGCCCACAAUGGCAGCCUCACCCACCAGGCAAACAACCGCAGACAAUAAGAUUCUUCCAAGGAACACAAUAAGAGGCUGAAGAAUAAUUGAGUUGUGAACUCCAAAUGUUAGAAUUUAUGUACAUGUGAACUUAGUAUUUGUGAACUAAAUGUACCUGUCAACUCUGUAGAUGUGAGCUAUUUGUGAACCCAGUAACCAGCCCACGAUGGCAGCCUUUUCAGAAACAAAGUCGAUUUCAAACAUUUGUGAAAUAUCUAAUGCAAGCCAAGAUAUUGCAUCACAUUGAAGUGCCAAUUUCAGCCAACAUUAAUUUCAUUGAAAGAGAGUCACAAUUACAUUCAGAGCCUGAUAUUACAUUGCUAAAAUUCUAGAACCUACAUCACUAUAAGCAGCACUACCUAACCAAAGAACACUAGAAUGCCGAUGACAAUGCUGAUCAUCACCAGAGCCCGAACCAAAUUAAUUAACUUGUCGAUCUUUCUUUCAUCACACAAAUUGGUCAUCCUCUGCAAACCUGACCC